Molecule: ribosomal RNA, 461 nt
Filed under: uncultured bacterium
Lineage: Bacteria
Description: bacterial SSU rRNA
Rfam family: Bacterial small subunit ribosomal RNA
Source: RNAcentral
UGAACGCUGGCGGCGUGCUUAACACAUGCAAGUCGAACGAGAACGGUCCUAGCUUGCUAGGAUGUCAGCUAAGUGGCGCACGGGUGAGUAAUGUAUAGGUAACCUACCCCGAAGAGCGGGAUAACGUCUGGAAACGGACGCUAAUACUGCAUACUCCUUCUUGACUUAAGUUGAGAAGGGAAAUGAAUUUCGCUUCGGGAUGGGCCUUUAUCGCAUCAGCUAGUUGGUAAGGUAACGGCUUACCAAGGCUAUGACGCGUAGCUGAUCUGAGAGGAUGAUCAGCCACACUGGUACUGAGACACGGACCAGACUCCUACGGGAGGCAGCAGUGGGGAAUAUUGCACAAUGGAGGAAACUCUGAUGCAGCAACGCCGCGUGGAGGAUGACACAUUUCGGUGCGUAAACUCCUUUUAUAGGUCAAGAUAAUGACGGUAGCCUAUGAAUAAGCACCGGCUAACUCC